AAAGCAGGUUACAAGUACAGUUCUUCAUUUUGUGGAAGUAUUGCCACUUCAUUGCUGAAAGAGAAGCUAUGCUGAUGACUUCUGUUUUACCUUUAUGAAUGUAAAAAUGACAGCUUGACAAAGACAGCA
Cricetulus griseus (Chinese hamster) is the source of this 129-nucleotide small nucleolar RNA. Ensembl annotates it as small nucleolar RNA SNORA69. The record is from Ensembl. Lineage: Eukaryota; Metazoa; Chordata; Mammalia; Rodentia; Cricetidae.